RNAcentral lists this ribosomal RNA (778 nucleotides) under uncultured bacterium. Its description in RNAcentral is "bacterial SSU rRNA". It matches the Rfam family "Bacterial small subunit ribosomal RNA", at positions 8 to 796 of the family's 1533-position model. The record is from RNAcentral.
AGAGUUUGAUCCUGGCUCAGGAUGAACGCUAGCGGCAGGCCUAAUACAUGCAAGUCGAACGGGGCAGCAAUGCCUAGUGGCGCACGGGUGCGUAACGCGUAUGCAACCUACCUUUCAGUGGGGGAUAGCCCGGGGAAACCCGGAUUAAUACCGCAUAAGAUAAUUGAAUGGCAUCGUUUAAUUAUGAAACAUUUAUGGCUGAAAGAUGGGCAUGCGUAAGAUUAGCUAGUUGGUGAGGUAGUAGCUCACCAAGGCAAUGAUCUUUAGGGGUUCUGAGAGGAAGAUCCCCCACACUGGUACUGAGAUACGGACCAGACUCCUACGGGAGGCAGCAGUAGGGAAUAUUGGGCAAUGGAGGCAACUCUGACCCAGCCAUGCCGCGUGCAGGAAGAAGGCCUUCUGGGUUGUAAACUGCUUUUGGAAGGGAACAAAACGGGCAUGCGUGCCAACUUGAGUGUACCUUCAGAAUAAGCACCGGCUAACUCCGUGCCAGCAGCCGCGGUAAUACGGAGGGUGCAAGCGUUGUCCGGAUUUAUUGGGUUUAAAGGGUGCGUAGGCGGCUUAUUAAGUCAGGGGUGAAAGACUGCAGCUCAACUGUAGCAGUGCCUUUGAUACUGAUGAGCUUGAGUACAGAUGAGGCUGGCGGAAUGGGUGGUGUAGCGGUGAAAUGCAUAGAUACCAUCCAGAACACCGAUUGCGAAGGCAGCCGGCUAAACUGUAACUGACGCUGAGGCACGAAAGCGUGGGGAUCGAACAGGAUUAGAUACCCUAGUAGUCC